GACGAAGGAUGCAAGCGUUAUCCGGAUUCAUUGGGUUUAAAGGGAGCGUAGGUGGCCUUAUAAGUCAGUGGUGAAAUCUCUGGGCUUAACCCAGAAAUUGCCAUUGAUACUGUAGGGCUUGAGUAUAGAUGCCGUUGGCGGAAUAUGACAUGUAGUGGUGAAAUGCGUAGAGAUCGGCAGGAACACCAGUGGCGAAGGCGGCCACCUAGCCCGCACCUGACGCUGAGGCGCGACAGCGUGGGGAGCGAACUGG
RNAcentral lists this ribosomal RNA (253 nucleotides) under uncultured bacterium. RNAcentral's name for it is "partial 16S ribosomal RNA". It matches the Rfam family "Bacterial small subunit ribosomal RNA", at positions 524 to 776 of the family's 1533-position model. The record is from RNAcentral.